Symphalangus syndactylus (siamang) is the source of this 975-nucleotide long non-coding RNA. RefSeq lists it as uncharacterized. The record is from RefSeq and is a predicted model, not a curated record. Lineage: Eukaryota; Metazoa; Chordata; Mammalia; Primates; Hylobatidae.
ACUGAAAUAGUUUAUAGCCAAUGUUUGGGCCCAUAUUCCUGGGAAAACAAUCAAAGCUUCAGGUACAUUUGGUCACCUGAUGGGCCAUUUAAACAUUUUAUAAAGGGAUUUUAUUCAAUUAUUAUUUUCAAUGCAUGUUUUCUGGUUAUAUAAAAGCUCUCCCAUGCAAGAGGGCUCAUGUUAUAAAACUAAGUCAUUACACCACAGUGUAUUUUCACCAGGUACAGAAAACUUUUUAUGGUUUGCUGAGGACAAUCAACCCCUUCACAAAUCUAGAGCCUAAAGAUUAGAUCUUCUGAGAACAUUGGAGAAAGAUUGUCCUUGCCAUCCACAGUGCAGCAAAACUUUGGAACCCUGAACUUUGGGUUCAUAAUCUCACAACUGAGGAGGGUCCCUCCACACUCUUGGAACUGUACACCCAUAGGAACCCUUAAGGUAAAGCUAACCAAGGAAGUCGCUCCCCAGAAGAACAUGGCAUCCUUGAUGUGAACAGCUUUUCCCAAGACCACAGAUCAAGACUUCUACUAUUAUGAGACUCUUAUCUUUGAAUAUUUUUUGCUUAUGCCUCCAAGAACAAUAGAAAUGAAAAGGGGGUCUGUUGUAUGCACUUAUGGGGUACACUUUUAUUUGUGAAGGAUUUUGCAGCCAGCCUCAUAUGAAUAAACUUAUACUUCGACAGAUAAAAGAUGAAGGUCCAAUGCAGGUUUUAAAUGGUUGCACGCAGCCAUUUCUAGAAUGUCAAAUGGUUUCUCUUCAACUGGAAUGACAAGGGCUGAAAGAAAUGUGUGAACAUGAGGACACCAUAACCUAUGAAUCAUGCACUGAGACCAGAAACCCAAAAUGAAGAAACCAUCAAGCUUCGGAUGAUCAUGCAACAAAGGUUCCAGCCACUUCCAGACACCACUCCUGGCCAUCAAGGAGCUACCUUGCCUCCACCAGACAGAGUGGGGCGAGAGUUCCGUGAUUCCCAACAGG